This 624-nucleotide unclassified non-coding RNA is filed under the name Hevea brasiliensis (rubber tree). Lineage: Eukaryota; Viridiplantae; Streptophyta; Magnoliopsida; Malpighiales; Euphorbiaceae. The record is from RNAcentral.
AUGUUAGUGCAUAUUUGUGUGCAAGAGCCAUCCAUGUAGAGUCAUGAAAACAUUCAAAAUACUUGCAAUAACACAAGCAAGAUAGCAUCUACCUUAGCACUAAUAAUAAUUAUCUAAAUCAUGAACACUGAACGCACAUUUCUUCUAUGUCAGUCCACAAAUGUCUAUUGCACCAGGGCAAAAGCAGGAUGACAUUGAUGAUCCAUAUUAUUUUUGGUACUUCAUACUAAAACGUUUAAAGAUUUUGGGAAUAGCUCACAUACAUACAGGGUUAGGUUACAAGAAGAAUAAUCCUAGUUUACAACUUAAAUAUCAUUAGCCCAUUAACUCGCCAUAGUUUUUGUCCUUAUGGUUAGUUAAUGGGCUAAAUAACUUAAGAUAGGUACGUACUUGGUGCAACUGAGUCUUUUUGGAUGAGAUAUCCCAUAAUGCAAAUUUUUUUUUUUUUUGGGAUCAGAUAUCCAACUAUGCCCCUGAUUAUGAGAAAGGGCAUUAACAAAGAAAAAGAAUAAAUGGUAGUUCAUAAGAAUUGAUGAUAAAGACAAGGCCUUCUUCUACCUUAAAAGCAGAACAAACCUAGUUUAUAAACAAAAUAUAGCUUUUCAAAUUAAGAAAUCAGAUGAU